GGGGGCGCACGCUUCGACGGAGAAACUCCUUUGAAAACUGCAGGCAGAGCUGAUCGCCUCUUGAAUCCGAUCAAACAACAACUGCUAACAAACAAUUAGCACCUGCAUACGCUUAAGAACGUACAGUUCUCGCGUACGCACAUCGGACCCUGAUAUCUCAUAGGAGAAUCUCCGGUGUUAUAUAUGAGAUGUACCCGCACCAAGCUCUUCCGUAGGUGUGGGGACAUUAAGGAAGAAAAAUUUGCUUAGUCUUCGGACUAAACUAUGUCUGUAGACGGUUUUCGAAGUUUUUUCUGGACGGGGGUUCAAUCCUCCCGCCUCCACUG
Molecule: transfer-messenger RNA, 326 nt
Filed under: Candidatus Wolfebacteria bacterium RIFCSPHIGHO2_01_FULL_48_22
Lineage: Bacteria; Candidatus Wolfeibacteriota
Also listed under: 2 other names
Rfam family: transfer-messenger RNA
About the family: Bacterial tmRNA, also known as 10Sa RNA or SsrA, is named for its dual tRNA and mRNA-like properties. Its role is to liberate the mRNA from a stalled ribosome. To accomplish this part of the tmRNA is used as a reading frame that ends in a translation stop signal.
Source: RNAcentral